Molecule: ribosomal RNA, 589 nt
Filed under: uncultured bacterium
Lineage: Bacteria
Description: bacterial SSU rRNA
Rfam family: Bacterial small subunit ribosomal RNA
Source: RNAcentral
UUCUACGGGAGGCAGCAGUGGGGAAUAUUGGACAAUGGGCGCAAGCCUGACCCAGCAAUGCCGCGUGUGUGAAGAAGGCCUUCGGGUUGUAAAGCACUUUUAUCAGGAGCGAAAUACCACGGGCUAAUACCCUAUGGGGCUGACGGUACCUGAGGAAUAAGCACCGGCUAACUUCGUGCCAGCAGCCGCGGUAAUACGAAGGGUGCAAGCGUUAAUCGGAAUUACUGGGCGUAAAGCGUGCGUAGGCGGUUUGUUAAGCCUGCUGUGAAAUCCCCGGGCUCAACCUGGGAAUGGCAGUGGAUACUGGCAAGCUAGAGUGUGUCAGAGGAUGGUGGAAUUCCCGGUGUAGCGGUGAAAUGCGUAGAGAUCGGGAGGAACAUCAGUGGCGAAGGCGGCCAUCUGGGACAACACUGACGCUGAGGCACGAAAGCGUGGGGGGCAAACAGGAUUAGAUACCCUGGUAGUCCACGCCCUAAACGAUGCGAACUGGAUGUUGGUCUCAACUCGGAGAUCAGUGUCGAAGCUAACGCGUUAAGUUCGCCGCCUGGGGAGUACGGUCGCAAGACUGAAACUCAAAUGAAUUGACGGA